GUGCUUGCUUCAGCAGCAUAUACACUAAAAUUGAACGAUACAGAGAAGUUGAGCAUGGCCCUUGUGCAAGGAUGACACGCAGAUUCAUGAAGUGUUCAUAUUUUUA
Molecule: small nuclear RNA, 106 nt
Organism: Neomonachus schauinslandi (Hawaiian monk seal)
Lineage: Eukaryota; Metazoa; Chordata; Mammalia; Carnivora; Phocidae
Source: RefSeq, a predicted model, not a curated record